UCCCUGGUGGUCCAGUGGUGAAGACUUCGUGCUUCUAAAGCAGGGGGCACAGGUUUGAUCCCUGGUUGGGGAA
This is a non-coding RNA of Bos taurus (domestic cattle), 73 nucleotides long. The record is from Rfam. NCBI's taxonomy places the organism in Eukaryota, Metazoa, Chordata, Mammalia, Artiodactyla, Bovidae.